RNAcentral lists this transfer RNA (71 nucleotides) under Myotis lucifugus (little brown bat). It matches the Rfam family "tRNA". Rfam says of the family: Transfer RNA (tRNA) molecules are approximately 80 nucleotides in length. The record is from Rfam by way of RNAcentral. Lineage: Eukaryota; Metazoa; Chordata; Mammalia; Chiroptera; Vespertilionidae.
GCCCGCAUGGCUCAGUGGUUGAGCAUUGACCUAGGAGUCAGGAGGUCACGGUUGGAUUCCCUGUCAGGGCA